Meriones unguiculatus (Mongolian gerbil) is the source of this 1487-nucleotide long non-coding RNA. RefSeq lists it as uncharacterized. The transcript is spliced from 3 exons. NCBI's taxonomy places the organism in Eukaryota, Metazoa, Chordata, Mammalia, Rodentia, Muridae. The record is from RefSeq and is a predicted model, not a curated record.
CGUUUCUGGUGUUUAAAAAAGAAAAGGGAGGAAAGAUGAAAUUCUGCAACUCUGAAAGCCCGUCCUAGCUGCCUUGCACAGCCGGGAGCAGGGCCACACUAGUCUACCACAAUCUCGCGACAGCACCUCGCAGGCUAACUUCAGCCGUGUCUGCUCCCUUCCCUGGCUGGCACACUGAAGAGGGUGGGGCUCGCCUGAGGCCUCUGAUUAAACUACGUCAACAAUCCACAGCUCUAGCAUUACUAGUGAAAAGAAACAGAUCCAUGUUCUCCUCAAGCCCUUCUUCGGGUAAGUGUGUGUGUCUAGUUCCUCCGAGACCAGCAAAACUAGCGUUCACUCCUCAGCACGGCUUUUCCUGCACAGGCUGGGCAUUUGCCGUCGCUGUCCCGGACUGUGUCACUUGGCUUCUGAAGGCAUUUCCAGGGCUGUUUGGCUGCCUGCAUCAUCGCUCACUGGCUGUGUUGCCUGGCAUCUGUAGGCAGUGUGCAGAGGGCUGAAGCAGCACUGUUCUUCCACCGACCCUUUUCAGCGAAUUCACGCAUCAUCUACAGACGAGCUCUCUGUGCUGCAGGUUGGCCUCAGUCUUGCAGGAAUCCUUCUGCCUCAACUUCCAAGUGCUGAGGUUACAGGUGGCAGUGGGCCACCAUGCCCAGAAAGUGAACUGUUCCGGACCAACCUGUGGAACUUGCCACAGUAUUUCCAUGAAGUGGCUCAACUCCUAUUUCACUUGUAUACAAGAGGUCAACAGAUCUUUCACUGGACAGUUCAAGCGGAGGCCGCAACAAUGGAGUCACAAGUGGCAUUUGGUUUCAAUCCCAGCAACUCGGGAGGAGGAGGCAGGAGGACCUCUGUGAGUUCGAGGCCACCUUGGUCUACACAUCGAAUUCCAGACCUCCCAUACUUACACAGUGAGACCCGGUCUCAAAACCAGGCUGGUUGGUUGGUGGGCGCAUGAUGCUGUGGUGCGCAGAGCCGGAGGACAGAGCUGUCCUGAUGAAGGAAGCCGGUAUCUAUCUGAUGUUUGGGGCGGGGCGGGGGCCACUCUUGUGGGGUUUUUUUGUUUAGGGAAACCCGCAUGUACUGGCUAGUUCACCGCCAAGGUGAGCCGAAGGAAGAGGAAGCAGUGGGUCUACUUCACGCUGACCUUCCUCGUCACUUCGAGGAACAACAAGAUUCUCCCGUGUCCCUGGGUCCUCUGCGGGGCGCCGCUGGCAGCCGUUAUGCGCCUUCUGGCACACUUCUCUAGCUCUUAAAAGCCAUUUUUUCCUGUCCUCCAGCUCGGUGCCUUCUCCCAGUUCUUGACAGUCCUCAGGCCAUCUGGGGUGACCUUAAGGUGACGGGGUAGCCCAGUGCCCGCUAAACUAACCGCGAAUCAGGGGGACAGCCCCCAAGGUCCCACACCUACCCAGGAGACCUGGAACUUCACACACCCUCGGCUUCCCGCAUCCCGGGAGGGGAGGCCAAGGUGAAGAACGGGGUCCGCCCGA